AGAGUUUGAUCCUGGCUCAGAUUGAACGCUGGCGGCAUGCCUUACACAUGCAAGUCGAACGGCAGCAUGAUCUAGCUUGCUAGAUUGAUGGCGAGUGGCGAACGGGUGAGUAAUACAUCGGAACGUGCCCUGUAGUGGGGGAUAACUAGUCGAAAGAUUAGCUAAUACCGCAUACGACCUGAGGGUGAAAGUGGGGGACCGCAAGGCCUCAUGCUAUAGGAGCGGCCGAUGUCUGAUUAGCUAGUUGGUGAGGUAAAGGCUCACCAAGGCGACGAUCAGUAGCUGGUCUGAGAGGACGAUCAGCCACACUGGGACUGAGACACGGCCCAGACUCCUACGGGAGGCAGCAGUGGGGAAUUUUGGACAAUGGGGGCAACCCUGAUCCAGCAAUGCCGCGUGUGUGAAGAAGGCCUUCGGGUUGUAAAGCACUUUUGUCCGGAAAGAAAUCGCACUUACUAAUAUUAGGUGUGGAUGACGGUACCGGAAGAAUAAGGACCGGCUAACUACGUGCCAGCAGCCGCGGUAAUACGUAGGGUCCAAGCGUUAAUCGGAAUUACUGGGCGUAAAGCGUGCGCAGGCGGUUGUGCAAGACCGAUGUGAAAUCCCCGGGCUUAACCUGGGAAUUGCAUUGGUGACUGCACGGCUAGAGUGUGUCAGAGGGGGGUAGAAUUCCACGUGUAGCAGUGAAAUGCGUAGAGAUGUGGAGGAAUACCGAUGGCGAAGGCAGCCCCCUGGGAUAACACUGACGCUCAUGCACGAAAGCGUGGGGAGCAAACAGGAUUAGAUACCCUGGUAGUC
RNAcentral lists this ribosomal RNA (798 nucleotides) under uncultured bacterium. Its description in RNAcentral is "bacterial SSU rRNA". It matches the Rfam family "Bacterial small subunit ribosomal RNA", at positions 8 to 795 of the family's 1533-position model. The record is from RNAcentral.